Molecule: non-coding RNA, 75 nt
Organism: Myotis lucifugus (little brown bat)
Lineage: Eukaryota; Metazoa; Chordata; Mammalia; Chiroptera; Vespertilionidae
Source: Rfam
GGCGGUUCUCAGGUGACGCACCCCAGAAUCAGGCUCCCUCCUCUCUGGUUCUGGGUGCGUCACUCAAGAACUGCA